UGAUUCAUGACUGGGGUGAAGUCGUAACAAGGUAACCGUAGGGGAACCUGCGGUUGGAUCACCUCCUUACCU
RNAcentral lists this ribosomal RNA (72 nucleotides) under Morganella morganii subsp. morganii. RNAcentral's name for it is "partial 16S ribosomal RNA". It matches the Rfam family "Bacterial small subunit ribosomal RNA", at positions 1465 to 1533 of the family's 1533-position model. Lineage: Bacteria; Pseudomonadati; Pseudomonadota; Gammaproteobacteria; Enterobacterales; Morganellaceae. RNAcentral also lists the same sequence under 1 other name. The record is from RNAcentral.